CGAGUCCUGUUAAGGUCGAAUUAAGCUUUGCGCGUUAGGGUCUCGUUAUUCAGAUUGUUCUGAAUUUUUCAGAGUGGUUUCUCCCUCUGUUUGACGCCUCCCUGUUAACUUCGAGAGCCGCAAAUGCUGUGGCUCUUUUUCU
Devosia sp. is the source of this 142-nucleotide non-coding RNA. Lineage: Bacteria; Pseudomonadati; Pseudomonadota; Alphaproteobacteria; Hyphomicrobiales; Devosiaceae. The record is from Rfam.